Molecule: non-coding RNA, 102 nt
Filed under: Paenibacillus stellifer
Lineage: Bacteria; Bacillati; Bacillota; Bacilli; Caryophanales; Paenibacillaceae
Description: Guanine sequence
Rfam family: Purine riboswitch aptamer
About the family: Riboswitches are metabolite binding domains within certain messenger RNAs that serve as precision sensors for their corresponding targets. Allosteric rearrangement of mRNA structure is mediated by ligand binding, and this results in modulation of gene expression. A class of riboswitches that selectively recognises guanine and becomes saturated at concentrations as low as 5 nM.
Source: Rfam by way of RNAcentral
AAACUGAAGACAUUCACAGCUCGUAUAAAUCCGGGAAUAAGGCCCGGAAGUUUCUACCCGGGAACCGUAAAUUUCCGGACUACGGAGAAAGUGAAGACGCAA